AACGGCCGCGGUAUCCUAACCGUGCGAAGGUAGCGUAAUCACUUGUUCUUUAAAUGAGGACUAGUAUGAAUGGCACCACGAGGGUUAAACUGUCUCCUUUUUUUAAUCAGUGAAACUAAUCUCCCCGUGAAGAAGCGGGGAUUCUUUUAUAAGACGAGAAGACCCUAUGGAGCUUUAAACAAGUUAACACCUGCUACUAAUCUUCACUUUCCUGAACCACCACAUUAAGUAUAGCACCUCUGAUUAACAGUUUUCGAUUGGGGUGAUCAUGGAGCAAAAAUCAACCUCCACGACGAAAAGGAACACCUCCUUGAGCCAAAAGCUACAACUUGAAGCACUAAAAAACUAACGCACUUUGACCCAAUUCUUUGAGCAACGAACCAAGUUACCCUAGGGAUAACAGCGCAAUCCACUUUAAGAGCUCCUAUCGACAAGUGGGUUUACGACCUCGAUGUUGGAUCAGGGUAUCCCAGUGGUG
Molecule: ribosomal RNA, 478 nt
Filed under: Boana raniceps (Chaco treefrog)
Lineage: Eukaryota; Metazoa; Chordata; Amphibia; Anura; Hylidae
Description: partial large subunit ribosomal RNA
Rfam family: Bacterial large subunit ribosomal RNA
Source: RNAcentral